UGCAAGUCGAGCGGUAGAGAGAAGCUUGCUUCUCUUGAGAGGCGGACGGGUGAGUAAUGCCUAGGAAUCUGCCUGGUAGUGGGGGAUAACGUUCGGAAGGACGCUAAUACCGCAUACGUCGUACGGGAGAAAGCAGGGGACUUCGGGCCUUGCGCUCAGAUGAGCCUAGGUCGGAUUAGCUAGUUGGUGGGGUAAUGGCUCACCAAGGCGACGACGUAACUGGUCUGAGAGGAUGAUCAGUCACACUGGAACUGAGACACGGUCCAGACUCCCGGGAGGCAGCAGUGGGGAAUAUUGGACAAUGGGCGAAAGCCUGAUCCAGCCAUGCCGUGUGUGAAGAAGGUCUUCGGAUUGUAAAGCACUUUAAGUUGGGAGGAAGGGCAGUAAAAAUACUUUGCUGUUUUGACGUUACCGACAGAAUAAGCACCGGCUAACUCUGUGCCAGCCCGCGGUAAUACAGAGGGUGCAAGCGUUAAUCGGAAUUACUGGGCGUAAAGCGCGCGUGUGGUUCGUUAAGUUGGAUGUGAAAUCCCCGGGCUCAACCUGGGAACUGCAUUCAAAAGACGAGCUAGAGUAUGGUAGAGGGUGGUGGAAUUUCCUGUGUAGCGGUGAAAUGCGUAUAUAGGAAGGAACACCAGUGGCGAAGGCGACCACCUGGACUGAUACUGACACUGAGGUGAAAGCGUGGGGAGCAAACAGGAUUAGAUACCCUGGUAGUCCACGCCGUAAACGUGGUACUAGCCGUUGGGAGCCCUUGAGCUCUUAGUGGCGCAGCUAACGCAUUAAGUGACCGC
RNAcentral lists this ribosomal RNA (794 nucleotides) under uncultured bacterium. RNAcentral's name for it is "bacterial SSU rRNA". It matches the Rfam family "Bacterial small subunit ribosomal RNA", at positions 56 to 872 of the family's 1533-position model. The record is from RNAcentral.